AAAGCUUUAAGUUAAAAAAACUAUUAACCUUCAAAGUUAAAAUUACAAGCAUUGAUGUAAGCUUUA
Molecule: transfer RNA, 66 nt
Filed under: Triatoma dimidiata (kissing bug)
Lineage: Eukaryota; Metazoa; Arthropoda; Insecta; Hemiptera; Reduviidae
Description: tRNA-Trp
Source: RNAcentral